GAUGAACGCUGGCGGCGUGCUUAACACAUGCAAGUCGAACGAAGCACUUUAUCUGAUUUCCUUCGGGACUGAUUAUUUUGUGACUGAGUGCCGGACGGGUGAGUAACGCGUGGGGAACCUGCCUUGUACAGGGGGAUAACAGUUGGAAACGGCUGCUAAUACCGCAUAAGCGCACAGCAUCGCAUGAUGCAGUGUGAAAAACUCCGGUGGUAUAAGAUGGACCCGAGUUGGAUUAGCUAGUGGGUGAGGUAACGGCCCACAAAGGCGACGAUCCAUAGCCGACCUGAGAGGGUGACCGGCCACAUUGGGACUGAGACACGGCCCAAACUCCUGCGGGAGGCAGCAGUGGGGAAUAUUGCACAAUGGGCGAAAGCCUGAUGCAGCGACGCUGCGUGAGCGAAGAAGUAUUUCGGUAUGUAAAGCUAUAUCAGCAGGGAAGAUAAUGACGGUACCUGAAGAAGAAGCACCGGCUAAAUACGUG
Molecule: ribosomal RNA, 481 nt
Filed under: uncultured bacterium
Lineage: Bacteria
Description: partial 16S ribosomal RNA
Rfam family: Bacterial small subunit ribosomal RNA
Source: RNAcentral